This 253-nucleotide ribosomal RNA is filed under the name uncultured bacterium. RNAcentral describes it as "partial 16S ribosomal RNA". It matches the Rfam family "Bacterial small subunit ribosomal RNA", at positions 524 to 776 of the family's 1533-position model. The record is from RNAcentral.
GACAGAGGGGGCAAGCGUUGCUCGGAAUCACUGGGCGUAAAGGGCGCGUAGGCGGGAUGGCAAGUCAGACGUGAAAUCUCUCGGCUCAACCGAGAAACGUCGGCUGAUACUGCCGUUCUUGAGGGAUGCAGAGGAGACUGGAAUUCCCGGUGUAGCGGUGAAAUGUGUAGAGAUCGGGAGGAACACCGGUGGCGAAGGCGGGUCUCUGGGCAUCUCCUGACGCUGAGGCGCGAAAGCGUGGGGAGCAAACGGG